UAUGUGAGUAAGAUCCCUAGAAGAUGACUAGGUAGAUAGGUCAGAGAUGGAAGCAUGGCGACAUGUGGAGUUGACUGAUACUAAUCGAUCGAGGACUUAACCACA
This 105-nucleotide ribosomal RNA is filed under the name Bacillus sp. DSM 27956. Its description in RNAcentral is "partial 23S ribosomal RNA". It matches the Rfam family "Bacterial large subunit ribosomal RNA", at positions 2821 to 2925 of the family's 2925-position model. Lineage: Bacteria; Bacillati; Bacillota; Bacilli; Caryophanales; Bacillaceae. The record is from RNAcentral.